UAUAACCGGCGAUACCCGAAUGGGGAAACCCAGUGUGACUCGUCACACUAUCAUUAACUGAAUCCAUAGGUUAAUGAGGCGAACCGGGGGAACUGAAACAUCUAAGUACCCCGAGGAAAAGAAAUCAACCGAGAUUCCCCCAGUAGCGGCGAGCGAACGGGGAGGAGCCCAGAGCCUGAAUCAGCAUGUGUGUUAGUGGAAGCGUCUGGAAAGGCGCGCGAUACAGGGUGACAGCCCCGUACACAAAAGCGCAUGUGCUGUGAGCUCGAUGAGUAGGGCGGGACACGUGGUAUCCUGUCUGAAUAUGGGGGGACCAUCCUCCAAGGCUAAAUACUCCUGACUGACCGAUAGUGAACCAGUACCGUGAGGGAAAGGCGAAAAGAACCCCGGCGAGGGGAGUGAAAAAGAACCUGAAACCGUGUACGUACAAGCAGUGGGAGCACCCUUUGGGGUGUGACUGCGUACCUUUUGUAUAAUGGGUCAGCGACUUAUAUUCUGUAGCAAGGUUAACCGUAUAGGGGAGCCGGAGGGAAACCGAGUCUUAACCGGGCGUUAAGUUGCAGGGUAUAGACCCGAAACCCGGUGAUCUAGCCAUGGGCAGGUUGAAGGUUGGGUAACACUAACUGGAGGACCGAACCGACUAAUGUUGAAAAAUUAGCGGAUGACCUGUGGCUGGGGGUGAAAGGCCAAUCAAACCGGGAGAUAGCUGGUUCUCCCCGAAAGCUAUUUAGGUAGCGCCUCGUGAACUCAUCUCCGGGGGUAGAGCACUGUUUCGGCUAGGGGGCCAUCCCGGCUUACCAACCCGAUGCAAACUGCGAAUACCGGAGAAUGUUAUCACGGGAGACACACGGCGGGUGCUAACGUCCGUCGUGAAGAGGGAAACAACCCAGACCGCCAGCUAAGGUCCCAAAGUCAUGGUUAAGUGGGAAACGAUGUGGGAAGGCCCAGACAGCCAGGAUGUUGGCUUAGAAGCAGCCAUCAUUUAAAGAAAGCGUAAUAGCUCACUGGUCGAGUCGGCCUGCGCGGAAGAUGUAACGGGGCUAAACCAUG
Molecule: ribosomal RNA, 1050 nt
Filed under: Salmonella enterica subsp. enterica serovar Montevideo
Lineage: Bacteria; Pseudomonadati; Pseudomonadota; Gammaproteobacteria; Enterobacterales; Enterobacteriaceae
Description: partial 23S ribosomal RNA
Rfam family: Bacterial large subunit ribosomal RNA
Source: RNAcentral